RNAcentral lists this small RNA (25 nucleotides) under Arabidopsis thaliana (thale cress). RNAcentral's name for it is "ATSL068210". Lineage: Eukaryota; Viridiplantae; Streptophyta; Magnoliopsida; Brassicales; Brassicaceae. The record is from RNAcentral.
UUAGAAGUAGAAGAAAGAAAAAUGA